GGGUGUGAGGGAGACCUGGCUGCAACAUCUGUCACCCCAUUGGUGGCCAGGUUGAUUCGGCUGACCUCGCUGACCAGGCGGGUGUCCCCGCCCUCCCUCACUGCCUCACGUGUGUCCCUCCCAAAGCUGUGCACGUGGUGGAAGGGGACAGCCUUCCCCAUAGAAGAGGACCGUUCUUGGGUCAAGGGUAAUGAGUGGCUGCACUCCCCUGCUAGAACCUCCAAGCAAACCCUCAAGGUGCAUUUGUAGGAGAACAUAGGGUUCCAAGCUCCCAAGGCUCCAGACCCAUCCACAUGAGGUGCCACAUGUGGUAGUCUGACUUUCUUC
This is an unclassified non-coding RNA of Vulpes vulpes (red fox), 327 nucleotides long. Its record names the gene 7SK. It matches the Rfam family "7SK RNA". From Rfam's summary of the family: 7SK was discovered as an abundant small nuclear RNA in the mid-70s but a possible function has only recently been suggested. The record is from Ensembl. NCBI's taxonomy places the organism in Eukaryota, Metazoa, Chordata, Mammalia, Carnivora, Canidae.